GAGCGAACGCUGGCGGCAGGCUUAACACAUGCAAGUCGAGCGGGCAUCCUUGUGAUGUCAGCGGCAGACGGGUGAGUAACGCGUGGGAACGUGCCCUUCGGUUCGGAAUAACUCAGGGAAACUUGAGCUAAUACCGGAUACGUGCGAGAGCAGAAAGGUUUAUCUGCCGAAGGAUCGGCCCGCGUCUGAUUAGCUAGUUGGUGAGGUUACGGCUCACCAAGGCGACGAUCAGUAGCUGGUCUGAGAGGAUGAUCAGCCACACUGGGACUGAGACACGGCCCAGACUCCUACGGGAGGCAGCAGUGGGGAAUAUUGGACAAUGGGGGCAACCCUGAUCCAGCCAUGCCGCGUGAGUGAUGACGGCCUUAGGGUUGUAAAGCUCUUUUCUCCGGGACGAUAAUGACGGUACCGGAGGAAUAAGCCCCGGCUAACUUCGUG
Molecule: ribosomal RNA, 438 nt
Filed under: uncultured bacterium
Lineage: Bacteria
Description: partial 16S ribosomal RNA
Rfam family: Bacterial small subunit ribosomal RNA
Source: RNAcentral